CUACGGUGAGCUGCAGUGGGGAAUAUUGGACAAUGGGGGAAACCCUGAUCCAGCAAUGCCGCGUGUGUGAAGAAGGUCUUCGGAUUGUAAAGCACUUUCGUUGGGGAAGAUGAUGACGGUACCCAAAGAAGAAGCCCCGGCUAACUUCGUGCCAGCAGCCGCGGUAAUACGAAGGGGGCAAGCGUUGCUCGGAAUGACUGGGCGUAAAGGGCGCGUAGGCUGUUUAAACAGUCAGAUGUGAAAUCCCUGGGCUUAACCUAGGAACUGCAUUUGAUACGUUUAGACUAGAGUUCGAGAGAGGGUUGCGGAAUUCCCAGUGUAGAGGUGAAAUUCGUAGAUAUUGGGAAGAACACCAGUUGCGAAGGCGGCAACCUGGCUCGAUACUGACGCUGAGGCGCGAAAGCGUGGGGAGCAAACAGGAUUAGAUACCCGAGUAGUC
This 439-nucleotide ribosomal RNA is filed under the name uncultured Acetobacteraceae bacterium. Its description in RNAcentral is "bacterial SSU rRNA". It matches the Rfam family "Bacterial small subunit ribosomal RNA", at positions 339 to 795 of the family's 1533-position model. Lineage: Bacteria; Pseudomonadati; Pseudomonadota; Alphaproteobacteria; Acetobacterales; Acetobacteraceae. The record is from RNAcentral.